CGGGUGAGUAACGCGUGGAUAACCUGCCUCACACUGGGGGAUAACAAUUAGAAAUGACUGCUAAUACCGCAUAAGCGCACAGUACCGCAUGGUACAGUGUGAAAAACUCCGGUGGUGUGAGAUGGAUCCGCGUCUGAUUAGCCAGUUGGCGGGGUAACGGCCCACCAAAGCGACGAUCAGUAGCCGACCUGAGAGGGUGACCGGCCACAUUGGGACUGAGACACGGCCCAA
Molecule: ribosomal RNA, 231 nt
Filed under: uncultured bacterium
Lineage: Bacteria
Description: partial 16S ribosomal RNA
Rfam family: Bacterial small subunit ribosomal RNA
Source: RNAcentral